AAAUGAAGGAGGGAGACGACUGCUGCGCUGAUGGACAGAACGAGCAGAGCAACUCCCUCGUGCUCGCGAGCUCUUUUAAAAUCUACACAUCCAGUAAUUCUUCAUUUACGAUGUUCAGUCUUGUAGAGUGGCUGCUAUUGGUUCUCAUUGGCUCAUCAGUGUCUGUUUCAUAUUUCAUCUCCUCUGAUUUCUGUGCAGAUACUUACUUGAUUUGUGUACUUCGUCCACCACUGCGGAAGAAUCAAGCAGGACAUCUCACAUGCAACAGCUCCUCCGCAAGUUCUUUAUGUGGACCGGGACUGCUGCUCUGCAGGAGGUAAAGGCAAGGCGGC
This is a long non-coding RNA of Megalobrama amblycephala (Wuchang bream), 332 nucleotides long. RefSeq lists it as uncharacterized. The record is from RefSeq and is a predicted model, not a curated record. NCBI's taxonomy places the organism in Eukaryota, Metazoa, Chordata, Actinopteri, Cypriniformes, Xenocyprididae. The transcript is spliced from 3 exons.